AUGCUUAGUACGGCGAGUGAAGCGGCAAAAGCUCAAAUUUGAAAUCUGGUACCUUCGGUGCCCGAGUUGUAAUUUGGAGAGGGCAACUUUGGGGCCGUUCCUUGUCUAUGUUCCUUGGAACAGGACGUCAUAGAGGGUGAGAAUCCCGUGUGGCGAGGAGUGCGGUUCUUUGUAAAGUGCCUUCGAAGAGUCGAGUUGUUUGGGAAUGCAGCUCUAAGUGGGUGGUAAAUUCCAUCUAAAGCUAAAUAUUGGCGAGAGACCGAUAGCGAACAAGUACAGUGAUGGAAAGAUGAAAAGAACUUUGAAAAGAGAGUGAAAAAGUACGUGAAAUUGUUGAAAGGGAAGGGCAUUUGAUCAGACAUGGUGUUUUGUGCCCUCUGCUCCUUGUGGGUAGGGGAAUCUCGCAUUUCACUGGGCCAGCAUCAGUUUUGGUGGCAGGAUAAAUCCAUAGGAAUGUAGCUUGCCUCGGUAAGUAUUAUAGCCUGUGGGAAUACUGCCAGCUGGGACUGAGGACUGCGACGUAAGUCAAGGAUGCUGGCAUAAUGGUUAUAUGCCGCCCGUCUUGA
RNAcentral lists this ribosomal RNA (566 nucleotides) under Saccharomyces cerevisiae (brewer's yeast). RNAcentral describes it as "eukaryotic LSU rRNA". It matches the Rfam family "Eukaryotic large subunit ribosomal RNA", at positions 73 to 657 of the family's 3401-position model. Lineage: Eukaryota; Fungi; Ascomycota; Saccharomycetes; Saccharomycetales; Saccharomycetaceae. The record is from RNAcentral.